RNAcentral lists this non-coding RNA (30 nucleotides) under Mus musculus (house mouse). The record is from RNAcentral. Lineage: Eukaryota; Metazoa; Chordata; Mammalia; Rodentia; Muridae.
UAGUAAGGGUCAGUUUCGUGGUUCAGAGGU